GUCUACAGCCAUACCACCCUGACCGUGCCCUAUCUCAUCUGAUCUCAAGCUAAGCAGGGUCAGGUUAGUAGGUGCACGGGAAUAUUACUACUAAUAAAAGAGGAAGUUCUUUUUAAGAGCUGUGGAGC
RNAcentral lists this ribosomal RNA (128 nucleotides) under Chinchilla lanigera (long-tailed chinchilla). The record is from RNAcentral. Lineage: Eukaryota; Metazoa; Chordata; Mammalia; Rodentia; Chinchillidae.